This 587-nucleotide ribosomal RNA is filed under the name uncultured bacterium. RNAcentral's name for it is "bacterial SSU rRNA". It matches the Rfam family "Bacterial small subunit ribosomal RNA", at positions 102 to 685 of the family's 1533-position model. The record is from RNAcentral.
ACGGGUGAGUAAUGCCUAGGAAUCUGCCUGGUAGUGGGGGACAACGUUUCGAAAGGAACGCUAAUACCGCAUACGUCCUACGGGAGAAAGCAGGGGACCUUCGGGCCUUGCGCUAUCAGAUGAGCCUAGGUCGGAUUAGCUAGUUGGUGAGGUAAUGGCUCACCAAGGCGACGAUCCGUAACUGGUCUGAGAGGAUGAUCAGUCACACUGGAACUGAGACACGGUCCAGACUCCUACGGGAGGCAGCAGUGGGGAAUAUUGGACAAUGGGCGAAAGCCUGAUCCAGCCAUGCCGCGUGUGUGAAGAAGGUCUUCGGAUUGUAAAGCACUUUAAGUUGGGAGGAAGGGUUGUAGAUUAAUACUCUGCAAUUUUGACGUUACCGACAGAAUAAGCACCGGCUAACUCUGUGCCAGCAGCCGCGGUAAUACAGAGGGUGCAAGCGUUAAUCGGAAUUACUGGGCGUAAAGCGCGCGUAGGUGGUUUGUUAAGUUGGAUGUGAAAUCCCCGGGCUCAACCUGGGAACUGCAUCCAAAACUGGCAAGCUAGAGUAUGGUAGAGGGUGGUGGAAUUUCCUGUGUAGCGGUGAA